UGUUACCGUUGUGGUUCACUCCCUGAGCGCUGACGUCUCCUCUCGUGCUCCUGCGAGCUCUCCCGUGAUCCCUCUCGUGCUCCACUGGUUACCUUCUGAGUCGGCUUCCCCGGACCCAAGGUACCCCUCUGACGAUCUUCUGGUUCCUCCCGCUGUUCUGAUCCCUUGGAUUCCCCCGGUGCUGCUCGGACCCACUCCUGCCCCAGCUUCCCACGGACACCCGUCUCCUCCACCGUGUGCUAGGCUGAGACCGCACUGCCCCCUCCCCGGUCAGGUUCCCAGCGCUUCGUGUGUGUUCCGGUUCCCUGGUCCCCGUUCGUGUGCCCCAGCGUCUGCUGUGGCAGAUUAGCUCUCGUCCUCCCCGUUGUUCCUUGUAAAUAAAACCCGUGAAGUC
Long non-coding RNA from Fundulus heteroclitus (mummichog), 394 nucleotides. RefSeq lists it as uncharacterized. The record is from RefSeq and is a predicted model, not a curated record. The transcript has 2 exons. Lineage: Eukaryota; Metazoa; Chordata; Actinopteri; Cyprinodontiformes; Fundulidae.